AACGCGAAGAACCUUACCUGGGCUCGAAAUGGAGUGGACCGGAGUGGAAACAUUCCUUCCCCGCAAGGGGCUGCUCUAUAGGUGCUGCAUGGCUGUCGUCAGCUCGUGUCGUGAGAUGUUGGGUUAAGUCCCGCAACGAGCGCAACCCUUAUUACCAGUUGCCACCAUUUAGUUGGGCACUCUGGUGAGACCGCCUCGGAUAACGGGGAGGAAGGCGGGGAUGACGUCAAGUCCUCAUGGCCUUUAUGUCCAGGGCUACACACGUGCUACAAUGGCCGGUACAAACCGUCGCAAACCCGUGAGGGGGAGCUAAUCGGAAAAAGCCGGCCUCAGUUCGGAUUGGAGUCUGCAACUCGACUCCAUGAAGCUGGAAUCGCUAGUAAUCGCGGAUCAGAACGCCGCGGUGAAUACGUUCCCGGGCCUUGUA
This 427-nucleotide ribosomal RNA is filed under the name uncultured Acidobacterium sp. RNAcentral's name for it is "bacterial SSU rRNA". It matches the Rfam family "Bacterial small subunit ribosomal RNA", at positions 958 to 1385 of the family's 1533-position model. Lineage: Bacteria; Pseudomonadati; Acidobacteriota; Terriglobia; Terriglobales; Acidobacteriaceae. The record is from RNAcentral.